Molecule: ribosomal RNA, 246 nt
Filed under: uncultured bacterium
Lineage: Bacteria
Description: partial 16S ribosomal RNA
Rfam family: Bacterial small subunit ribosomal RNA
Source: RNAcentral
AGUAACGCGUGGGUAACCUGCCUCACACUGGGGGACAACAGUUAGAAAUGACUGCUAAUACCGCAUAAGCGCACAGCCUCACAUGAGGCAGUGUGAAAAACUCCGGUGGUACAGGAUGGUCCCGCGUCUGAUUAGCUAGUUGGUGAGGUAACGGCUCACCAAGGCGACGAUCAGUAGCCGACCUGAGAGGGUGAUCGGCCACAUUGGAACUGAGACACGGUCCAAACUCCUACGGGAGGCAGCAUG